AAAUCUCCACCCUCCAUUCUACAAAAUGGCAUGCCGUAAAUACCUAAUCUAUCCAAGGGCUAUCCUAAAUGAAAUUUUGGUAAAAUUUUGAUUCGAUUUUCCAAAUUUGAAACGUAGAUUGUGGAAACCCUAGCCCCAUACCUCACGCUCCCCGUUCUCCCUCAGACUCCGUCUCCCUCUCUCGACUCUUUCUCUCUUCGAUCGCUCUUCUAGCACCACCGACCGGUGCGACGAGUCACCACCGGAACUACCACCAUUCGAGGCUCUCAGGGCUCUCUCUAUCUGUAUCUUCCAUCGCUUCCCCUGCCUCAUCUACCACCAUGUAUUCAUGUAAGCCAAAAUCUCCCUUCGAUCCACCACCACCAACCCAACACCAGCUGGCACCGUAUCGCCUCUCCAUCAGCGGCACCAGUCCUCUCCAUCACCGCACCACCUCUCCAGCCAAAAUUUGGUCUCCACAGAGUUAGAUUGGGGAUUGAUGUAUGGAGUUGUUUACAGGCGAAGUUGACCUAUCUAGGGAUGUUAUUUUCCAGAAUCUUCGGCAGAAUCGGCCCCUCACUUUAAACCAAUUUUACCAAAAUCUUAUGAAUUUGAGGUACACAAAGACCAUUCCUUUUUCCCUCAUAGUUAUCAUUCCAAGUUGGCUGACAUUGAGAUUUAGUCUAUCCAUAUUGGUUCUUGGUUUAUUUCAUAUAUUGUUCACAUCGCAAUUUAGGUCUUUUUGUUAGGUUUUUGGAUUAGCAGUGCUUAGACGGGUAGAGAAGAGACAUAUCUUUGUAUCGUAACCUUAUCUCUAAUCUAAAUAGAUAUAUACACACACAUACUGAGAAUUACACUGAUGCUUGCUCGCUUGCAGAAUUACAAAAGUUUACCCCUAACUGAAAUCUAUUCUAAUUCCAUGUGAUUCUAAUAUAUAUAGCUUACCUCUAAUGGAAUUUACUCUUUAAGUGAUUCUCCUUUCCAUGUCUAAAUUUCUUAGGACCUUAUGGCCUUACCAAAGUAGAAAUGUGCAGAAGGCCCAUGGCAAUUAUCAGUAAGGAGUGCACGCGCGCACACACACAAACCCAGUGAUUGUUUGCAUGAUUCAAUAUCGGAAUUGGUUGUCGGAUGAAAUAUGCUGCUCAUUAACUCAUCUUUGCCCAUGUAAACUCUAUUUCAAGUUGUCAAUGUGGUUUAUGGGAAAAGAUUUUGGGUCUUUUUUCGAUUAUUUUCUGAAGUCCAUCUUUUUACUAAUGGCUCCUUCAUUAAGUCUCCCAUUGCACAUGAUUCUCCCGCGAUCAAUUCUAUGGAUUUUGUUUUGGGGGCUCUUUGUUAAAAGUUGAUUUUUACCUUAAAAGUUGUAAAAUAACACCGCAACUGAUUUAUUUCCAUAUGUAUGUUUCGCUAGUUUGUUUCAUGUUUGAACCAAAAGCUGUUUUAGUGGUGAGAUCAGAUUUCCACUACUACUAUAUAAUUAGAGCAAUAUGAUCAACUUCUUUUGUUUGUGAUUUCUGAGUUAUAUGUUUAGAUAAAAUUCAAUGGUUGCAUCGAUGCCUUAGAGGUAAAGGAAAAUCUAUGUGUAUAAUUUAUGGGGCUUAGAGGUUAAUGCUAUUUUGAAUACAAUAGACCAGUGCAUUUUAGUUAUCCAAUAGAGCUACUCUUUACUUUUCUCUUUU
This is a long non-coding RNA of Rhododendron vialii, 1655 nucleotides long. RefSeq lists it as uncharacterized. The record is from RefSeq and is a predicted model, not a curated record. Lineage: Eukaryota; Viridiplantae; Streptophyta; Magnoliopsida; Ericales; Ericaceae. The transcript has 4 exons.